GGGGGCGUACCGGUUUCGACGGGGUUUUUGCACCAUAGUAAGCGAGUAGAGGUCUGCUGCAUCUCUUUAAACUGCGGCACGUUUAAAUAUAAACGCUAACAACAAGAUUACUGUAAGCUCUCGCAGCCUGCAGGUUGCUGCUUAAGUCAGCAUCUGUCCUGUAACUGAGGACCACGGCUCUUACAGGGCAUCGAUGAGUGGUGAACGUUCCGGCGGCAUGUCCACACCGCAGGAAUGUAUUUGGACUACCUUCACUUCCAGCCUGUUUACCGGCGGGUCGUGCGGGGAAUCUUAAAAGAUAAACUACACUCGUAGAAAGCUGUGGGAAUAGGGCUUCGGACAAGGGUUCAAUUCCCUUCGCCUCCACCA
This 369-nucleotide transfer-messenger RNA is filed under the name Oscillospiraceae. Its description in RNAcentral is "UBA3855 sp017828885 Standard tmRNA". It matches the Rfam family "transfer-messenger RNA". From Rfam's summary of the family: Bacterial tmRNA, also known as 10Sa RNA or SsrA, is named for its dual tRNA and mRNA-like properties. Its role is to liberate the mRNA from a stalled ribosome. Lineage: Bacteria; Bacillati; Bacillota; Clostridia; Eubacteriales. RNAcentral also lists the same sequence under 1 other name. The record is from RNAcentral.